CCGGGAGAAUUUCUUAAUGGGGUGCCAAUGCCAGUCCCCGAAGCCAGGGUUCCCGGACCCUCGGGGCUGAGCUGGGCGCUGGAGCCCCGCAGGGGCGGAGAGGCCGGCCGAGCCUGAAGAAGUGGAGGAGAGAUCUACACAACUUCAGUGGGGUGUCCCCGUCCCAUCUUCCUGUUCGCCCUCUUUUGCCCUCAACUCCAUCUCUGAGACAUCCUAUCCUCCCCCCCAAAAAAGAAGUCACUACCGGGGCUCUGUCUGCAGAGAGCCAGGGUGAGAGCGGGCAAGGCGAGAGAGCGACCUCGGUCGUGGGCAAGUAGCUUGUUUUUACGUCCUUCAAUAAAAUUUUUAUGAGGAUCAUUUGAUUGUUCAUAAAUGUGUCUUUCAUUAAAUAAAAUUGUAGGCUGUUUUUGGAACGAAAGAAAGCUAUGAAGGAAUGGGAGAAAGCAAUUUCUUUGGAGUCAGACACAGGAAUUCUGGAGGGGGCAGUGUGAUGGCAGGGAAGAUGACACAACUCAGAUUCCUCCCCCCUCAGUAAGUUGGUUGCUACCCUCCUCCUUGAAUUUGGGGUUCACUGCCCAGCCCUCUGCUUUCCAUCAGACUGUCCCAUGGUGGUUUAGCAAAAGUGGGCAAAGGCAAGCAGGAAAUUCUCAGUGUGGGUGCAAGAGAAGGGCAAGGAAGUUGGUGGGGGUGGGGGAGAAGAGCAGGUGAUAUCCCCAGAGACACAGGGCAGAGUGAAUUUGAAAGAGGGGUGCAAUUUCAGGGUCAGCAGGGAAUAGUCCAGUUUGCGCCAAGGGAAACAGGCAGGAGCUGAGGCUAAGACACAGGCUCUGAGGCAGCAGAGAAGGACAAGGUUUCUCAGACUGGAGAUGUCUGCUCUUCUUUUCCAUUCCUGUCCUCAGGAGGGGACCAAACACCAGGGGUUGUGGGAGGGGGCGGAGGCUGCUUUUUUCCUGCAUCUCUGUCAACCUGUCUCCUCUAAGGAGAAGGGCUAGAGAGAGGUGUUCCAGAGACUGCAAUGUGUGUGUUUGGGAGAAGGGGGGGGUGAGGAAAGUUGAGGGGGAAGGGUCUGUCUGCAGCCCGCAGCACUGACCCCAGCCUGCCAGGCCCCCACCCCAGUCCCUGCUCCUCCCCUUCUCGGGUUCUCUCCUUUUCGGUCUAGCGGGGCUGGGAUUUCGACGCAUGGGGGGGGGGGGGGACGUGAGAAGUACCCGGCUGGGGAGAGGCAACCCGGGGCCUCAGCCUCUUCACCCUCAGCUCUGAUUAUCUUCUACUCCCCCUCGACUGGACUGGUUUUGGAAAAGUCAAAUUACAGCAAGAAACAGAAUAUCUCUUUGGCCUUGAUGGAGCUGGGUUAGCUGUCAAUCAAAAAUUCUCCCUCACUAGUUCAAGGAAAAGACUGCAGGUUACAGUCCCCCUGCCUAGGCUUCCUCCAAAUCCCCAGCGCCAUCAGCACCUCCCCCCCAGCCCUGGCGGCGGGGACCCUGCCUGGUUCUUGGGUGGCUGCUGGCAAUGCUGAGCAGAGCCGCGGAGCGUUCAGAGGGCCCGGGGCCAGACUGUGACCAAGAGGACAUCAGGGGACAGAGCCUGAGAGAGACUGAGCCCGAGACAGUCUGCGACAGCAAGACUGAAGCACGGCGCCAGGUCCCCAGAGAGGAAGGGAGGAAGGAAGGAGGGAAAGAAAGAAGAAAACGGAUUAGAAUAAAAGAAAGAGGGAAGAAAGACAGAAAAGAGGGGAGGCAGGAUGAAAAGAGAGGGAAGAGCAGGGAAAGGAAGGCAUGCAGAGAGAGUCGGAGGAAGGGCGGCGACAGGCAGGCAGGACGGGGCAGGGCGCGGGCUGGCUGGCCGAGCAGCCGUGGCAUUGUGCAACCCGCUGGCUGGCCGGGCCUUUGCCGCGGGACUGGCUCUGGGCGCGGCAGCCACUUCUGUCCGGACACAAAGGAGGAAGAGGCCUCCUCUCCUGCCCCUCCCGGGCGACCUGCUGAGGUGGGGACACCAGGCCUCUAGGAUAUAGAACCCUAUCUCGGCCCAGGCAGCUACCCAGGCAGCUGGGAGCUGAGCCACGCUCUCAAUCAAGGAGCAAAGAAGACAGGAUGAAGGAGAAGGUUUCAAGCCCGCCGGCUCCUCCUUUUUGUCUUCGCCAGGGGACAGGGCCCAUGUGUCCCUACCUCAGUCUUCCUAGAAGGAAGCUGCCCCCAAAGCCUCUCUCCUAUGGGCUUCUACUAUUUGGGAAAGCCCCCCAGACACAGUGGCUGUAAACAGAUGCCCCUUUCUCUCCUACCCAGCUUGGCCACCACCUUCUUUUCAACUCUUGAGCAGCCUGCCCACCCGGCAGAGGCAGCAGCAGUGGGGCAGCCAGGAUCACCAGGCCCACGCUCUCUGCUGCCAUCAAAUUCCCUGUGAGACUGAGGGGAGGUUGUCGCCUUCGUUUCAGAGCAUGAACUCAGACCCUCCCCACUCAGGCACAGACACAGCUGUGGAUCUGGAAGCAGGCCUCACCCAUAGCCCCCUCCCCACCAACGCCCCAUUUUGCCUGGGCCUUGCUAAGAGAGGCAGCCUGGGGGAGGGGGGCUGGAAGAGGCUGAGAAUUCCUGAGUUCACCAGGCCAGGUCCCUCGGGUUCCACAACUACAUGUGGACGGUACCCCCAUCCUCUGCAUUUGGAGGUGGGGUGGCAGGUCAGAGCUCUGAAGCAGACCCUGGGGCUCUCCCCAAAUCCAGACCUGGAGGGCACAAGGAUGUGGGAGCACCAAGAAGGAGUUUGUCUUCCCAGGUUCAGUUAAGCCUGCCAGGUUCCCAGACUCCCUCUCACCCCCACCACUCCCUUCAAUUUUCCUUAUCACCGAUGGGGAGCCCGAGGGACUGGAGGCCACUGGGAGUCCCUGUUGGGAGAUGGGAGGACUCCAGCUUUAGCUAGCAGCUGUGCAUUCACUGUGGUUCUUAGAGCUCUCUUCUGACCCCAAAAGACGGCACUGGGCAGAGGAGAGCCCCCUCAGGGGGAGGAGCACCCUGACUACAUCACCUCAGACCUGGACAGCUGGGAUCACAAUCAAGCUAGCACCACCGUGGGCAGGACAGACAGACAGAAAGACAGCUCAGGCCUGCGCUGGAAGCAGAAACUGAAUUCUCCUGGCCCGCCGCGAGGAGACCAGCGUCUUGCCCCCACCCCAGGUGGGUAUCCGGGAUCCCUACACACCAGGAGUCCAGCCGCUAAGCCCAGCAGGAGUGAAACCCCCAGGGCCUGUGAACGUGGCCCUCUCAACGCCACGGCCUGCAUUCCCUCCGGCCCCCUGCCCUGCGCCCCGCAGCAAACGGGGCUAUUUCCGCUCCCCCAACCCGAUCUGGUUUCCCAGCCUGGGGAGUGGCUGGAGGGGGAGCGGCCCCAGAGCUAGGGGUGCUCUCCGCCUGGAGCCCCCCGUGGUCCUGGGCGCCUGGUUACCUGAUCUUUGUGUGAUGUAUGUGUCGCAAGGAAAUUUGCAGUGACUUUGGAGCCCAGACUGAGGAAGCGGAGGUGGCGAAAGGAGAGACAAUACGGGUCCGAAGUACAAUUAAGGAGCCAGAGCCGCUAGUCUCUUCCCCCGCCCUCCCUGCCAGACUAGGAGCUGUCUGGCCUCAAACCUCAGGGCAACUCGCGAACCUGGAGCCGGAAACUCAGCCCAUGGCGGAGGGAACCGGAGGUUCUGGCGUCCAGAAAGCAGGAGGAAAGCGCCCUCCAACUUGGGAGCCCAGCCACCAGCCCCACUGAGUCGCCGAGAAUCCAAUGAAUGAAAGUGCACAUUCCGACGAAUUUUUCCCAAUUUUUUUCAGCCUUUGGCUGGACAGCCUAGGGUUUAGGACGUCUCAGAUGGACAGACAGACAGGCAAACCGCAUCUCCGGAGGCAGACAGACUCACAACAUGAGUGUGAGUCUGAAAUCAAAUACAGGUUCAACAUUCCCCAGGCCUCUCUGCCAGGCCGGGAGGGCGCCGAUCU
Long non-coding RNA from Capra hircus (goat), 3968 nucleotides. RefSeq lists it as uncharacterized. Lineage: Eukaryota; Metazoa; Chordata; Mammalia; Artiodactyla; Bovidae. The record is from RefSeq and is a predicted model, not a curated record. The transcript has 3 exons.